This 469-nucleotide ribosomal RNA is filed under the name uncultured Desulfobulbus sp. Its description in RNAcentral is "bacterial SSU rRNA". It matches the Rfam family "Bacterial small subunit ribosomal RNA", at positions 920 to 1382 of the family's 1533-position model. Lineage: Bacteria; Pseudomonadati; Thermodesulfobacteriota; Desulfobulbia; Desulfobulbales; Desulfobulbaceae. The record is from RNAcentral.
CCCGCACAAGCGGUGGAGUAUGUGGUUUAAUUUCGAUGCAACGCGAAGAACCUUACCUGGUCUUGACAUCCCAGAAAUCCCUUGGAAACUUGGGAGUGCUUCCAUUAGGAAGAAUCUGGAGACAGGUGCUGCAUGGCUGUCGUCAGCUCGUGUCGUGAGAUGUUGGGUUAAGUCCCGCAACGAGCGCAACCCUUGCCUUUAGUUGCCAGCAGUUCGGCUGGGCACUCUAAAGGGACUGCCGGUGUUAAACCGGAGGAAGGUGGGGAUGACGUCAAGUCCUCAUGGCCUUUAUGACCAGGGCUACACACGUACUACAAUGGCCGAUACAAAGGGCAGCGACAUCGCGAGGUGAAGCCAAUCCCAUAAAAUCGGUCUCAGUCCGGAUUGGAGUCUGCAACUCGACUCCAUGAAGUUGGAAUCGCUAGUAAUCGUGGAUCAGCAUGCCACGGUGAAUACGUUCCCGGGCCUU